GCUCAGGAUGAACGCUGGCGGCGUGCUUAACACAUGCAAGUCGAGCGAAGCGCUUUUGCGGAUUUCUUCGGAUUGAAGCAACUGUGACUGAGCGGCGGACGGGUGAGUAACGCGUGGGUAACCUGCCUCAUACAGGGGGAUAACAGUUGGAAACGGCUGCUAAUACCGCAUAAGCGCACAGUACCGCAUGGUACCGUGUGAAAAACUCCGGUGGUAUGAGAUGGACCCGCGUCUGAUUAGGUAGUUGGUGGGGUAACGGCCUACCAAGCCGACGAUCAGUAGCCGACCUGAGAGGGUGACCGGCCACAUUGGGACUGAGACACGGCCCAAACUCCUACGGGAGGCAGCAGUA
This 352-nucleotide ribosomal RNA is filed under the name uncultured bacterium. RNAcentral describes it as "bacterial SSU rRNA". It matches the Rfam family "Bacterial small subunit ribosomal RNA", at positions 22 to 356 of the family's 1533-position model. The record is from RNAcentral.